CGUGUAGGCGGGUAGACAAGUCAGAUGUGAAAUACCGGGGCUCAACUCCGGGGCUGCAUUUGAAACUGUAUAUCUUGAGUGUCGGAGAGGAAAGCGGAAUUCCUAGUGUAGCGGUGAAAUGCGUAGAUAUUAGGAGGAACACUAGUGGCGAAGGCGGCUUUCUGGACGAUAACUGACGCUGAGGCGCGAAAGCGUGGGGAGCAAACA
This 207-nucleotide ribosomal RNA is filed under the name uncultured bacterium. RNAcentral's name for it is "partial 16S ribosomal RNA". It matches the Rfam family "Bacterial small subunit ribosomal RNA", at positions 568 to 774 of the family's 1533-position model. The record is from RNAcentral.